GUAGCUAUAGCUCAACUGGAUAGAGUGCUUGACUACGAAUCAAGAGGUUUGGGGUUCGAGUCCCCAUAGCUACA
Molecule: transfer RNA, 74 nt
Filed under: Sporanaerobacter sp. PP17-6a
Lineage: Bacteria; Bacillati; Bacillota; Tissierellia; Tissierellales; Sporanaerobacteraceae
Also listed under: 2 other names
Rfam family: tRNA
About the family: Transfer RNA (tRNA) molecules are approximately 80 nucleotides in length. Their secondary structure includes four short double-helical elements and three loops (D, anti-codon, and T loops).
Source: Rfam by way of RNAcentral